GAUGAACGCUGGCGGCGUGCCUAAUACAUGCAAGUCGAGCGAACAGACGAGGAGCUUGCUCCUCUGACGUUAGCGGCGGACGGGUGAGUAACACGUGGGUAACCUACCUAUAAGACUGGGAUAACUUCGGGAAACCGGAGCUAAUACCGGAUAAUAUAUUGAACCGCAUGGUUCAAUAGUGAAAGACGGUUUUGCUGUCACUUAUAGAUGGACCUGCGCCGCAUUAGCUAGUUGGUAAGGUAACGGCUUACCAAGGCAACGAUGCGUAGCCGACCUGAGAGGGUGAUCGGCCACACUGGAACUGAGACACGGUCCAGACUCCUACGGGAGGCAGCAGUAGGGAAUCUUCCGCAAUGGGCGAAAGCCUGACGGAGCAACGCCGCGUGAGUGAUGAAGGUCUUCGGAUCGUAAAACUCUGUUAUUAGGGAAGAACAAACGUGUAAGUAACUAUGCACGUCUUGACGGUACCUAAUCAGAAAGCCACGGCUAACUACGUG
Molecule: ribosomal RNA, 497 nt
Filed under: uncultured bacterium
Lineage: Bacteria
Description: partial 16S ribosomal RNA
Rfam family: Bacterial small subunit ribosomal RNA
Source: RNAcentral